Molecule: small RNA, 28 nt
Filed under: Bombyx mori (domestic silkworm)
Lineage: Eukaryota; Metazoa; Arthropoda; Insecta; Lepidoptera; Bombycidae
Description: ovarian small RNA-1885
Source: RNAcentral
UAGAACAUGCAACUUGAUGAACCUACCC